RNAcentral lists this transfer RNA (73 nucleotides) under Clytia hemisphaerica. RNAcentral's name for it is "tRNA-Ala for anticodon GGC". It matches the Rfam family "tRNA". Rfam says of the family: Transfer RNA (tRNA) molecules are approximately 80 nucleotides in length. Their secondary structure includes four short double-helical elements and three loops (D, anti-codon, and T loops). Lineage: Eukaryota; Metazoa; Cnidaria; Hydrozoa; Leptothecata; Clytiidae. The record is from Rfam by way of RNAcentral.
GAAGCAAUAGCACAGGUGGGAGAGCAAUCGCCCGGCAAGCGAGAGGUCGUGGGUUCAAUUCCCACUCGAUUCG